UACAACAGAUAUAAUCUACGUGCUUUGACGUUUUAAACGGACAACUGCGGUAAUUCUGGAGCCAAUACGUGCUAAAAGCCGGAUUCAGCAAUGAGUUCGGUGCACUUAUCGGAGCAAAACCUUUCCUGGUUUGAUGCUAACUCUGGAUAACCUCGCUUAUCGCAUGACCUGGUGUCGGCGAAGAUGCACUCGAGUAUCUGCCUUAUCAACUUUCGUCGGUAGUGUAUUGGACUACCGAGGUGUUGACGGGUAACGGAGAAUCAGGGUUCGACUCCGGAGAGGGAGCCUUAGAAACGGCUACCAUGUCUAAGGACAGCAGCAGGCGCGCAACUUAUCCACUGUUCAUUGAACGAGAUAGUGACGAGAAAUAACGAGCUCGUUCUCUUUGAGGUCGAGCAUUGGAAUGGAUGGAAUGUAAACAAUUCCAUGAGUAUCAACGAGAGGGCAAGUCUGGUGCCAGCAGCCGCGGUAAUUCCAGCUCUCGUAAUGUAUAGAAUUAUUGUUGCGGUUAAAAAGUUCGUAGUUGGAUUUUCUACUGCGACUGGUUGCAUCUAACGAUGUGGACUAGGAGCAGUACUUGUGCCACGCUCGGGGCGACCCGACGGGGUGCGGAUUACUUUGAACGGCUUAAGUGCUCAAGGCGAGUCUUCGGACUGAAUACCGGUGCAUGGAAUAAUGGAAACAAGAUUUCGGCCGAGUUUUAAUGGUUUUGUCGGCUAGAACAAUGGUUAACAAGGAACAGCUGGGGGCACUCGUAUCGCUGCGCGAGAGGUGAAAUUCGUGGACCGCAGCGAGACGCCCGAAAGCGAAGGCAUUUGCCAAGAGUGUUUUCAUUAAUCAAGAACGAAAGUCAGAGGUUCGAAGGCGAUUAGAUACCGCCCUAGUUCUGACCGUAAACGAUGCCAACUAUCAAUCCGCCAGUGGUUCUUAGUCAUUGGCGGGGAGAUCGACGGAAACGAAAGUUUUUCGGUUCCGGGGGAAGUAUGGUUGCAAAGCUGAAACUUAAAGGAAUUGACGGAAGGGCACCACCAGGAGUGGAGCUUGCGGCUUAAUUUGACUCAACACGGGAAACCUCACCCGGCCAGUACAUCAUAAGGAUUGACAGAUUGAAAGCUCUUUCAUGAUUUGAUGAAUGGUGGUGCAUGGCCGUUCUUAGUUCGUGGCGUGAGUCGUCUGCUUAAUUGCGAUAACGAGCGAGACUCCGACUGCUAAAUACCCGCCGGAUUAUUGGUCUGCGUGGGUUCUUAGCUGGAUUCGAGACUCCAAGUCUCAAGAAAUGGAGCAAUAACAGGUCUGUGAUGCCCUUAGAUGUUCGGGGCCGCACGCGUGCUACAAUGAUGGUAACAGCGUGAUUGUCCUCGCCCGACAGGGCUUGGCAAACAGUUGAGAUAUUAUUAUGGCUGGAAUUGAGUGUUGAAAUUUUCUCUCAUGAACGAGGAAUUCCAAGUAAAUGCGAGUCAUCAACUUGCAUUGAUUACGUCCCUGCCCUUUGUACACACCGCCCGUCGCUACCCGGGACUGAGUUGUUUCGAGAAAUACAACAGAUAUAAUCUACGUGCUUUGACGUUUUAAACGGACAACUGCGGUAAUUCUGGAGCCAAUACGUGCUAAAAGCCGGAUUCAGCAAUGAGUUCGGUGCACUUAUCGGAGCAAAACCUUUCCUGGUUUGAUGCUAACUCUGGAUAACCUCGCUUAUCGCAUGACCUGGUGUCGGCGAAGAUGCACUCGAGUAUCUGCCUUAUCAACUUUCGUCGGUAGUGUAUUGGACUACCGAGGUGUUGACGGGUAACGGAGAAUCAGGGUUCGACUCCGGAGAGGGAGCCUUAGAAACGGCUACCAUGUCUAAGGACAGCAGCAGGCGCGCAACUUAUCCACUGUUCAUUGAACGAGAUAGUGACGAGAAAUAACGAGCUCGUUCUCUUUGAGGUCGAGCAUUGGAAUGGAUGGAAUGUAAACAAUUCCAUGAGUAUCAACGAGAGGGCAAGUCUGGUGCCAGCAGCCGCGGUAAUUCCAGCUCUCGUAAUGUAUAGAAUUAUUGUUGCGGUUAAAAAGUUCGUAGUUGGAUUUUCUACUGCGACUGGUUGCAUCUAACGAUGUGGACUAGGAGCAGUACUUGUGCCACGCUCGGGGCGACCCGACGGGGUGCGGAUUACUUUGAACGGCUUAAGUGCUCAAGGCGAGUCUUCGGACUGAAUACCGGUGCAUGGAAUAAUGGAAACAAGAUUUCGGCCGAGUUUUAAUGGUUUUGUCGGCUAGAACAAUGGUUAACAAGGAACAGCUGGGGGCACUCGUAUCGCUGCGCGAGAGGUGAAAUUCGUGGACCGCAGCGAGACGCCCGAAAGCGAAGGCAUUUGCCAAGAGUGUUUUCAUUAAUCAAGAACGAAAGUCAGAGGUUCGAAGGCGAUUAGAUACCGCCCUAGUUCUGACCGUAAACGAUGCCAACUAUCAAUCCGCCAGUGGUUCUUAGUCAUUGGCGGGGAGAUCGACGGAAACGAAAGUUUUUCGGUUCCGGGGGAAGUAUGGUUGCAAAGCUGAAACUUAAAGGAAUUGACGGAAGGGCACCACCAGGAGUGGAGCUUGCGGCUUAAUUUGACUCAACACGGGAAACCUCACCCGGCCAGUACAUCAUAAGGAUUGACAGAUUGAAAGCUCUUUCAUGAUUUGAUGAAUGGUGGUGCAUGGCCGUUCUUAGUUCGUGGCGUGAGUCGUCUGCUUAAUUGCGAUAACGAGCGAGACUCCGACUGCUAAAUACCCGCCGGAUUAUUGGUCUGCGUGGGUUCUUAGCUGGAUUCGAGACUCCAAGUCUCAAGAAAUGGAGCAAUAACAGGUCUGUGAUGCCCUUAGAUGUUCGGGGCCGCACGCGUGCUACAAUGAUGGUAACAGCGUGAUUGUCCUCGCCCGACAGGGCUUGGCAAACAGUUGAGAUAUUAUUAUGGCUGGAAUUGAGUGUUGAAAUUUUCUCUCAUGAACGAGGAAUUCCAAGUAAAUGCGAGUCAUCAACUUGCAUUGAUUACGUCCCUGCCCUUUGUACACACCGCCCGUCGCUACCCGGGACUGAGUUGUUUCGAGAAA
RNAcentral lists this ribosomal RNA (3072 nucleotides) under Schistonchus sp. ex Ficus maxima WY-2014. RNAcentral's name for it is "SSU rRNA". The stretch from base 1 to 1655 matches the Rfam family "Eukaryotic small subunit ribosomal RNA". Lineage: Eukaryota; Metazoa; Nematoda; Chromadorea; Rhabditida; Aphelenchoididae. The record is from RNAcentral.